This 492-nucleotide ribosomal RNA is filed under the name uncultured bacterium. RNAcentral describes it as "partial 16S ribosomal RNA". It matches the Rfam family "Bacterial small subunit ribosomal RNA", at positions 28 to 507 of the family's 1533-position model. The record is from RNAcentral.
GAUGAACGCUAGCUACAGGCUUAACACAUGCAAGUCGAGGGGAAACGACAUCGAAAGCUUGCUUUUGAUGGGCGUCGACCGGCGCACGGGUGAGUAACGCGUAUCCAACCUGCCCAUCACUUGGGAAUAACCUUGCGAAAGUAAGACUAAUACCCAAUGAUAUCCCACGAAGGCAUCGGAAUGGGAUUAAAGAUUUAUCGGUGAUGGAUGGGGAUGCGUCUGAUUAGCUUGUUGGCGGGGUAACGGCCCACCAAGGCAACGAUCAGUAGGGGUUCUGAGAGGAAGGUCCCCCACAUUGGAACUGAGACACGGUCCAAACUCCUACGGGAGGCAGCAGUGAGGAAUAUUGGUCAAUGGGCGAGAGCCUGAACCAGCCAAGUAGCGUGCAGGAAGACGGCCCUAUGGGUUGUAAACUGCUUUUAUAAGGGAAUAAAGUGAGUCACGUGUGACUUUUUGCAUGUACCUUAUGAAUAAGGACCGGCUAAUUCCGUG